Long non-coding RNA from Cyprinus carpio carpio, 2570 nucleotides. NCBI's taxonomy places the organism in Eukaryota, Metazoa, Chordata, Actinopteri, Cypriniformes, Cyprinidae. The record is from Ensembl.
AUGUGCUGCUCUCAGGGCAGGAACACUCAAUAUUCAUAUUACUGUUAUUUUAAUAAACUAUGCACUGCUCUCAGGGCAGGAGCACUCAAUAUUCAUAUUACUGUUAUUUUACUAAACUAUGCGCUGCUCUCAGGGCAGGAGUACUCAAUCUUCAUAUUACUGUUAUUUUACUCAACUAUGCGCUGCUCUCAGGGCAGAAGUACUCAAUAUUCAUAUUACUGUUAUUUUACUAAAUUAUGUGCUGCUCUCCGGGCAGGAGUACUCAAUAUUCAUAUUACCGUUAUUUUACUAAACUAUGCACUGCUCUCAGGGCAGGAGUACUCAAUAUUCAUAUUACUGUUAUUUUUAGGGUACUAUGUGCUGGCAGGAACACUCAAUAUUCAUAUAACUGUUAUUUUUAGUAUAUUAUGUGCUGCUCUCAGGGCAGGAACACUCAAUAUUCAUAUUACCAUUAUUUUACUAAACUAUGCGCUGCUCUCAGGGCAGGAGUAAUCAAAAUUCAUAUAACUGUUAUUUUUACUAAACUGCGCUGCUCUCAGGGCAGGAAUACUCAAUAUUCAUAUUACUGUUAUUUUUCUAAACUAUGCACUGCUCUCAGGGCAUGAGUACUCAAUAUUCAUAUUACUGUUAUUUUUAGUGUAUUAUGUGCUGCUCUCAGGGCAGGAACACUCAAUAUUCAUAUUACUGUUAUUUUUAGGGUACUAUUUUCUGGCAGGAGUACUCAAUAUUCAUAUUACUGUUAUUUUUAGUGUACUAUGUGCUGCUCUCAGGGCAGGAGCACUCAAUAUUCAUAUUACUGUUAUUUUACUAAACUAUGCGCUGCUCUCAGGGCAGGAGUACUCAAUCUUCAUAUUACUGUUAUUUUACUCAACUAUGCGCUGCUCUCAGGGAAGGAGUACUCAAUAAUUAUAUUACCAGACUCUUUGUGCAUUUCAAAUGCAGGAAGACAUGGCAAACACUUCUGGAGACUUUGAGAAACUGCCUUUGAGAAGAUAUCUGGCAAGGCGACCUACAGUAUGGCCUGGUUUAAAGGGAGCACGUUCAAACUACAGCAGUUUAAUGAUGCAUCUACCUUUUCCUGUGAAAUCUUCCUGUGUGUUGUACAUGCAUUUAAUUCACUGGAUUUGUUUUUUAUUGUUUAAAAAGAGAAAGUAGUCAUACUUAUACUUGAUUAUUUUAUUGUAAUAUUGGACCCGUAAACUGAUUAUUUUCAAUCAACAUUUAAUUUUGUUCUUACACAAACAAUCUGUACAACAGACAUUGAAUGAAACAACAUUUACAGCACAGUAAAAAAAAAAAAAAAACACAGGCUUAGCCUAUGAGAACAUUAAGUGGUUGCACAUAGAUUGACACCGGGAACGUUUAAAAUCACAUUUAUGUGUCACCAAGUCAACUCAGGACUUCUCUCACAAUUCAGAUGGCAAUUGUUAUUCAAGGCAUUGAUGUUUGCAUACAAAACCACCACUGGCUCUGCACCCCUUUACCUAAAUUCAUUACUUCAGACUUAUGUGCCCUCUAGAAGCUUGCGUUCUGCAAGUGAACAUCGCUUGAUUGUGCCAUCCCAAAGAAGCACAAAGUCACUUUUACGGACUUUUAAAUUAAAUGUUCCCUCCUGGUGGAAUGACCUGCCCAACUCAAUCCGAGCAGCUGAGUCCUUACCCAUCUUUAAGAAUCGGCUUAAAACACAUCUCUUCCAUCUUUAUUUGACCCUCUAACUUUUUCACUCACUAUUCUAAUUCUAUUUAAAAAAAAAAAUCUAACUACCUUUUUAAUCUUUUUGUAUUCUAUCUAUUUUCUUUUCAUUUAUUAUACAAUUAUAAAAAGACCCCUAACACUAGCUUGCUCUAUUCUUUUUCUAUUCUAUCUGUUUUUCUUUUUAUUUAUUAUAUUAUUUAAAAGCCCUUGCUACGUAUACUGUGUUUAGGCUAACUGAGACUUGUUAUAGCACUUAUAUAUCAUUGCUCUUUUGUUGUUUUUGAUUGCUUCCAUUGUCCUCAUUUGUAAGUCGCUUUGGAUAAAAGCGUCUGCUAAAUGACUAAAUGUAAAUGUAAAUGUAAAUAUGGACAUAUGUAAAAAAUUAUUUACAUGGCACCUCAGCGAUAACUCAUGUAUUUGAUGAUUUAUUCACAGUGGAGAAGAAAGAUGUGAGAUCAUUAUGAACCUAGGAAUGCACUGCUGACAUGGCCAGUUGCAUAGUUGUCUGCUCUAAAUAAAAUGCCAUACUCUUGGAAUAAAAGAUUUAAAUGUACUGUAAUACUAUACUAUUUAUUAUUUAUUUAAAUCUCUGGUUUAAAAAUAGGAAAAUAGACCCAAUAUAGUUGAAAUGGUUCUUAAUUUUUAUCUCUCAAAAUGAUGGGUGUCAUUAAAAAUGUGGAGAUUAGCAUUAAUAAGUAAAUGCAACCUCUUAUUUACAUGAGGUAAACAAAGCUGCUUGGUUCGCAUUUUCAAGUACGUAAUUGUAGGCCUAUACAUAUUUUAAAAAUGGUAUUGUAUACCUGUUACUGCCAUAAUAAUUACCCAUUUCAAAUGUUUACAUGCUUUUCUGGUCUUUUUUGUUUUUAACAAGCAUC